UACGUAGGACGCAAGCGUUAUCCGGAUUUAUUGGGUUUAAAGGGUGCGUAGGCGGGAUUAUAAGUCAGUGGUGAAAUACUGUCGCUCAACGAUAGCAUUGCCAUUGAUACUGUAGUUCUUGAGUACAGUUGAGGUAGGCGGAAUGUGUAGUGUAGCGGUGAAAUGCUUAGAUAUUACACAGAACACCGAUUGCGAAGGCAGCUUACUAAGCUGAAACUGACGCUGAUGCACGAAAGCGUGGGGAUCAAACAGGAUUAGAUACCCUGGUAGUCCACGCUGUAAACUAUGAUGACUGGUUGUUAGCGAUAUACCGUUAGCGACUGAGUGAAAGCAUUAAGUCAUCCACCUGGGGAGUACGUCGGCAACGAUGAA
RNAcentral lists this ribosomal RNA (372 nucleotides) under uncultured bacterium. Its description in RNAcentral is "bacterial SSU rRNA". It matches the Rfam family "Bacterial small subunit ribosomal RNA", at positions 524 to 898 of the family's 1533-position model. The record is from RNAcentral.